Molecule: ribosomal RNA, 253 nt
Filed under: uncultured bacterium
Lineage: Bacteria
Description: partial 16S ribosomal RNA
Rfam family: Bacterial small subunit ribosomal RNA
Source: RNAcentral
UACAGAGGGGGCAAGCGUUGUUCGGAAUUACUGGGCGUAAAGGGCGCGUAGGCGGCCCUCUAAGUCAGACGUGAAAUCCCCAGGCUCAACCUGGGAACUGCGUCUGAUACUGGAUGGCUUGAAUUCGGGAGAGGGAUGCAGAAUUCCAGGUGUAGCGGUGAAAUGCGUAGAUAUCUGGAGGAACACCGGUGGCGAAGGCGGCAUCCUGGACCGGCAUUGACGCUGAGGCGCGAAAGCCAGGGGAGCAAACGGG